RNAcentral lists this long non-coding RNA (255 nucleotides) under Homo sapiens (human). RNAcentral's name for it is "non-protein coding lnc-KRTAP5-10-1:1". The record is from RNAcentral. Lineage: Eukaryota; Metazoa; Chordata; Mammalia; Primates; Hominidae.
UCUCAGUGCAGUUGCUGCAAACUCUGCUGCUGCUCCUCAGGCUGUGAAUCAACCUGCUCCCAGUCCAGCUGCUGCAAGCCCUGCUGCUCCCGGUCCAGCUGCUGCAAGUCCUGAUGUUCCCGGUCCAGCUGCUGCAAGUCCUGCUGUUCCCGGUCCAGCUGCUGCAAGCCCUGCUGCUCCCAGUCCAGCUGCUGCAGGUCCUGCUGCUCCAAGUCCAGCUGCUGUGUCCCUAUUUGCUGUCAGUACAAGAUCUGA